AAACCCCCAAAAUCCUAAUUUCCAUGAGUAGUUCAAUUCCGCUCACUUUCACAUUCUUCAAAUCCAAAGAAGUCAUUUUCCUUGUUCACAAAUCCCUUGUCCACCAAUAAACCCACCGCAAAUUCCCAUUCCAAAUUCUUUCCCAGAUUAUUUUUCUUUUUCUCCAGUUUUUUGGUCAUCGAUGGCGACGAGAAACCGAACCAUUCAGUACAGAAAGCACAGGGAUGCAGUGAAGAGCGUGCGUGCUCCUUUGUCAUCGUCAGCGUCAGUUUUGGGUGGUCCGGUUAUUGAAAUGGUUAACACUUCGUUUCUUCGUUCCAAACGUGCCUCUUAUACUCCCCUCAGCACUGAAGAUCCCGGUC
This 362-nucleotide unclassified non-coding RNA is filed under the name Hevea brasiliensis (rubber tree). Lineage: Eukaryota; Viridiplantae; Streptophyta; Magnoliopsida; Malpighiales; Euphorbiaceae. The record is from RNAcentral.